UAUUUAUUUACAUUUGAAAAUGUGGAUUUCUGAAUUUUGUAAAAUAAAAGGUUUUCUACCCCUCGUGGUAGCGUUUUUUAAAAGAAUAAAAGUUUCCGUGUAGGAAACAGUUUUCAAAAGAUUUUUGUGGAUUUCUGUUUAAACCUUGAAUGUAAAACUGUGAUGUGAAUGGUGAAUGUAUGAAUGUAUAGUUAUCUUUAUAUUCAUCUGGUUGUGGUUGUAUCCUGGUUGUACUGUGUAUUUGAUCGACGCCGUGCAAAUACAGGGGAGAUUCUGUCCGUGUGAACAAUGGAUUCCCUGUAUUUGUGGCGGAUCUGGCAUACUCUAGGGUCAGGUUUUCAAAAAAAAAAAAAAAAAUUCAGACGCUUUUCCGCUUUGUUUUAAACUGAAAAGGGACCCCGGGGCGUGACAGAUGCAGGGAUAAACAACAGUACAGAGGAAUAUAACUAGCCGCUACUUUAAUACAGAACAAAGUGUAAGUGUGUAUUAAUCGGACGAUCAGUCCUA
RNAcentral lists this long non-coding RNA (507 nucleotides) under Ananas comosus (pineapple). RNAcentral's name for it is "long non-coding RNA (ACOM_LNC028977)". Lineage: Eukaryota; Viridiplantae; Streptophyta; Magnoliopsida; Poales; Bromeliaceae. The record is from RNAcentral.